ACAAGCCUGAGAAACGGCUAGUAGGACUAAGGUCUGCAGCAGGCGCGAAACUUACACAAUGCUAGAUUACGAAAUGACAUAGCGAUGUAGUGAAGAAAAAUAACGAUGUACUUACAUUUAAACAUGUUAGUACAAUUGGAAUGAGACGACUCUAAACCAGUCAGUCGAGUAACAAAUGGAGGGCAAGUCUGGUGCCAGCAGCCGCGGUAAUUCCAGCUCCAUUAGCAUACAUUAAAGUUGUUGCGGUUAAAAAGCUCGUAGUUGAAUUUUGGACGGGCUCUAUUGGGGUGCAACCGUUAAGGUUUAUAUUAAGUUGGUUCGCCCAUUUUUUAUCAAACUGGUUGUAUUUCCCCUAUAGGAACCCGUUGUUUCGUCACUUAAUCGAGUGCGAAGCGGGCCGGUACUAUCGAAAACCUCCGGGUUUUCAAGUAACGGCAUGUUUACCUUGAGAAAAUUAGAGUGCUCACAGCAGGCAGUUGGGGUGUAAAAGCUCCUUUAUGCUUGAAUAAUGUUGCAUGGAAUAAUAGAAUACGGCCUCGGUUCUAUUCUGUUGGUCUUAUAGAACAACAAAAAAGUUGAUUAAAGCGAUCAAAAGUCCUUUUUGAGUGUGGCUUUGUGAUAUUUAAGUAAAUCAAAUCAUUCUGGUAUUGUUGUCUGGGGCCUUAAAAUCUCAGUACCUUGCUAGUUUUGAAUCUUGGUCCUUAAAUUCACCUAGUCAUUUAAAGCACUCUUAAUGUGGCUAGCUUUCUAAUCAACUGAGGCAAUGGUUAAAAGAAAUAGUCGCGGCGGCAUCAGUACUGCAUCGUGAGAGGUGAAAUUCU
Molecule: ribosomal RNA, 821 nt
Filed under: Tegolophus celtis
Lineage: Eukaryota; Metazoa; Arthropoda; Arachnida; Trombidiformes; Eriophyidae
Description: partial 18S ribosomal RNA
Rfam family: Eukaryotic small subunit ribosomal RNA
Source: RNAcentral